UGACAAAGUAUAUAUAUUCAGAUAACAAUUCACAUUCAAAAAUGUAUUUCUAAUAUUUUAAACUCAUUUUUUUUUCAUGUUUCAUUCCUGUAUGUUUCCUAAGGAGGCAAAGUUAAGGUGAAUAACCUGGACACUGUCCUGGAAAACUUGGGAAUCAAGCUCACACAAAAGGAACACGAAGAUGUGACAGAAAAUCUACCACUUACCGCUAAUGGGAAGGUUGAGCUCAGCACAUUGAUGGAUGCAGUGGCCACUGUUACAGGAGGAGAAGUUAAUGUCAGUGAUAUUCAAAGUAUCCUGGAGAAAAUGGGGUUAGAGCUCACAGAUAAGGAGUGCUCAAAACUAAAGAAAUAUCUGCCAGUCAAUGCUGUUGGAAAGGUGUACCAAAAUAGGUUGAUGGAUGGUGUAAAAACCCUUAAAGG
Molecule: long non-coding RNA, 422 nt
Organism: Panthera uncia (snow leopard)
Lineage: Eukaryota; Metazoa; Chordata; Mammalia; Carnivora; Felidae
Exons: 4
Source: RefSeq, a predicted model, not a curated record